AACGAACGCUGGCGGCAUGCCUAACACAUGCAAGUCGAACGAGACCUUCGGGUCUAGUUGCGCACGGGUGCGUAACGAGUGGGAACCUGCCCUUAGGUUCGGAAUAACUCCCCGAAAGGGGUGCUAAUACCGGAUAAUGUCUUCGGACCAAAGAUUUAUCGCCUUUGGAUGGGCCCGCGUUGGAUUAGCUAGUUGGUAGGGUAAAAGCCUACCAAGGCGACGAUCCAUAGCUGGUCUGAGAGGAUGAUCAGCCACACUGGGACUGAGACACGGCCCAGACUCCUACGGGAGGCAGCAGUGGGGAAUAUUGGACAAUGGGCGAAAGCCUGAUCCAGCAAUGCCGCGUGAGUGAUGAAGGCCUUAGGGUUGUAAAGCUCUUUUACCCGGGAUGAUAAUGACAGUACCGGGAGAAUAAGCUCCGGCUAACUCCGUG
RNAcentral lists this ribosomal RNA (433 nucleotides) under uncultured bacterium. RNAcentral describes it as "partial 16S ribosomal RNA". It matches the Rfam family "Bacterial small subunit ribosomal RNA", at positions 29 to 507 of the family's 1533-position model. The record is from RNAcentral.